RNAcentral lists this ribosomal RNA (307 nucleotides) under uncultured eukaryote. Its description in RNAcentral is "partial 18S ribosomal RNA". It matches the Rfam family "Eukaryotic small subunit ribosomal RNA", at positions 1470 to 1796 of the family's 1831-position model. The record is from RNAcentral.
CCCUUAGACGUUCUGGGCCGCACGCGCGCUACACUGACGAAGGCAACGAGCUACUCUUCACCGAAAGGUGUGGGUAAUCUUUUGAAACUUCGUCGUGCUGGGGGUAUAUCCUUGCAAUUUUUGAUCUUAAACGAGGAAUUCCUAGUAAGCGCAAGUCAUCAACUUGCGUUGAUUACGUCCCUGCCCUUUGUACACACCGCCCGUCGCUACUACCGAUUGAAUGGUUUAGUGAGGCCUUCGGAUCCGCGAUUUUAUUGUGGAGAAGUUGGACAAACUCAGUCAUUUAGAGGAAGUAAAAGUCGUAACA